Long non-coding RNA from Daphnia pulicaria, 346 nucleotides. RefSeq lists it as uncharacterized. The record is from RefSeq and is a predicted model, not a curated record. NCBI's taxonomy places the organism in Eukaryota, Metazoa, Arthropoda, Branchiopoda, Diplostraca, Daphniidae. The transcript is spliced from 3 exons.
AUGUUCGAAUUUUUUUUUUUAUUGUAAGUGUUUUGUGACAUUUUCAAUUCGCAUUCUGGCAUCCCUGGUAAAAAAACCGUUAGUCUUAAGAUCUUCAUAGUGUCUUUCGAUUUUAUUUUGUUAAAGUUAUAGGUUAUAGAGUUGGUUAGUCUCCCCAAUGUUAUUGCAAACGAUUGCUUUUUUACCAGAUAUUUUAAUUAUAAGCGACUUAUUUCACUUUUAUCACUCACGACGUCAUCAACUGGAUAACUUUUACGUCAGACCCGAUAUAACUUGACUCUACAGUCUACAUUUAGAGAGUGAAUCAUUUUUAUUGUUAUUCUGGCACAUCAUUUUGGAACAAAGU